UUUCCUCGAAUACCAAUAGCGGCAUUGAUUGAUUGAUUAGGAGAUCACCUGGCUGGGCAGUCCCGAGCUGAGAAGUUCAGGUGAGGUGAAGGUUCACAGAGGUGUUUCCGCUGCAGCCAGGUGGGAAAAGAAGCCAAUUUAAUGUGAAUUAGGGCCGGGAAAUGUGCUCAAGUUAGACAAAGAAGGAGAAGGAAACAAAGAUUAACAGCGGAUGGUGCAUCAGUGUGCAGGAGAUCUCAGAGACGCUAUUGAUAUGUUAUCAACAACUGAUGGUUGUGGAAAACUAAAUAAAUUCAAAGGAAGAAGAUUUUAAGGAGCUGAGUUGUCAAGUGUCAUCUUCUAAAGCCUUUUUCGAGUCACUGAAGCCACACUCCAGUUAACUCGACAUCUAUUCUCAAAGCCUGGCCUUUUGCACGUGGAGGCAGGUGGAGUAGCAGGUCAGGAUGGAAAGAGAAAGCAGCAUGGAUCCUGCCAGUCACACAGGGCCCAGAAGACUGAGUGGCCAGGUCCUGCAGGACCAACUGGCAGAUGGCUGCCUCCGGAUAAUGACCAGGUGACAUCUGUAGAGUGAACAAGCUAUCAGGCUAACAGACUCACCUUGACCCACCAGGGAAGCCAAGCUGCCCAUUCUCAACCUCCUUCUCCUCCUCCUGCAAUCCCCUCAGGUUACACCCACAAAUCGAGAAGUAUAACAGAAGUUUAUUGAUUCACUAAGUUUCUCAACUCACUGGAAAAAAGAGGUGUGAGAAUGUCCUGAAAAAAACAUUAACAGAUUUUAUGUGGGUGUUUGAAUUGAAUUUUCUUUUAUUCACCAGAGAUUCAGUCGCUUCCUCUAUCAAUGCCAAAGUACUAGAAGUAAAUUUGUCUCCAAACCA
Long non-coding RNA from Micropterus salmoides (largemouth bass), 875 nucleotides. RefSeq lists it as uncharacterized. The record is from RefSeq and is a predicted model, not a curated record. Lineage: Eukaryota; Metazoa; Chordata; Actinopteri; Centrarchiformes; Centrarchidae. The transcript has 3 exons.